GCCUUCGUGGUGUAGUGGUCAGCACACUCGACACGUAACCGGAGCUUCGUGGUUCAAUUCCCAGCGAAGGCA
RNAcentral lists this transfer RNA (72 nucleotides) under Stegodyphus mimosarum. It matches the Rfam family "tRNA". From Rfam's summary of the family: Transfer RNA (tRNA) molecules are approximately 80 nucleotides in length. Their secondary structure includes four short double-helical elements and three loops (D, anti-codon, and T loops). Lineage: Eukaryota; Metazoa; Arthropoda; Arachnida; Araneae; Eresidae. The record is from Rfam by way of RNAcentral.